Molecule: unclassified non-coding RNA, 406 nt
Filed under: soil metagenome
Description: partial contains 5.8S ribosomal RNA, internal transcribed spacer 2, and large subunit ribosomal RNA
Rfam family: 5.8S ribosomal RNA (bases 1-121)
Source: RNAcentral
GAUGAAGAACGCAGCGAAAUGCGAUAAGUAAUGUGAAUUGCAGAAUUCAGUGAAUCAUCGAAUCUUUGAACGCACCUUGCGCCCUUUGGCCAUUCCGAAGGGCAUGCCUGUUUGAGUAUCAUGAACACCUCAACUCUUCAUGGUUUUCCGUGAUGAGCUUGGACUUUGGGGGUCUUGCUGGCCUAUGGUCAGCUCCUCUAAAAUAAAUCAGCUUGCCAGUGUUUGGUGGGUAUCACAGGUGUGAUAACUAUCUACGCUUGUGGUUUUCCACCAGGUAACCUUCAGCAGUGGAGGUUCGCUGGAGCUCACAGAUGUGUCUCUCCUCAGUGAGGACAGCUCUUUGAAUGUUUGAUCUCAAAUCAGGUAGGACUACCCGCUGAACUUAAGCAUAUCAAUAAGCAGAGGA